AGAGUUUGAUCAUGGCUCAGGAUGAACGCUAGCGGCAGGCUUAAUACAUGCAAGUCGAGGGGCAGCAGGGGUAGCAAUACUCGCUGGCGACCGGCAAACGGGUGCGGAACACGUACGCAACCUUCCCAUAACUGGUGAAUAGCCCUCCGAAAGGAGGAUUAAUACACCGUAACAUAACGAAGUGGCAUCACUUUGUUAUUAUAGCUUCGGCGGUUUUGGAUGGGCGUGCGCCUGAUUAGGUAGUUGGCGGGGUAACGGCCCACCAAGCCUGCGAUCAGUAACUGGUGUGAGAGCACGACCAGUCACACGGGCACUGAGACACGGGCCCGACUCCUACGGGAGGCAGCAGUAAGGAAUAUUGGUCAAUGGACGCAAGUCUGAACCAGCCAUGCCGCGUGAAGGAUGAAGGCCCUCUGGGUUGUAAACUUCUUUUAUCUGGGACGAAAAAAGGGGAUUCUUCCUCACUUGACGGUACCAGAGGAAUAAGCACCGGCUAACUCCGUGCCAGCAGCCGCGGUAAUACGGAGGGUGCAAGCGUUAUCCGGAUUUACUGGGUUUAAAGGGUGCGUAGGUGGGUUGGUAAGUCAGUGGUGAAAUCUUCGAGCUUAACUCGGAAACUGCCAUUGAUACUAUCAAUCUUGAAUAUCCUGGAGGUGAGCGGAAUAUGUCAUGUAGCGGUGAAAUGCUUAGAUAUGACAUAGAACACCCAUUGCGAAGGCAGCUCACUACGGGAUUAUUGACACUGAGGCACGAAAGCGUGGGGAUCAAACAGGAUUAGAUACCCUAGUAGUCC
RNAcentral lists this ribosomal RNA (793 nucleotides) under uncultured bacterium. RNAcentral describes it as "bacterial SSU rRNA". It matches the Rfam family "Bacterial small subunit ribosomal RNA", at positions 8 to 796 of the family's 1533-position model. The record is from RNAcentral.